Long non-coding RNA from Tympanuchus pallidicinctus (lesser prairie-chicken), 948 nucleotides. RefSeq lists it as uncharacterized. The record is from RefSeq and is a predicted model, not a curated record. Lineage: Eukaryota; Metazoa; Chordata; Aves; Galliformes; Phasianidae. The transcript is spliced from 3 exons.
CUCAGGUAAUGUAAAUAAGCAUGGAUGACCAAUGUCUCUCUUAUAAAAGAAGUAAAAGUUUCUCAAAUUGAUUACCUUCAGUAGCUUCUCAGGAGAUCUACAUUUCAAUCAGCUGAUGAAACAGAUGUGGGAGGAUUGUCAUGAGCUCUGCUUCUGAAAUCUUAGAGAAGCAACUACAGGUUACUGGGUGGAAAAGCAGUCAUCUUUUUAAAAUAUACAUCCCAUAAUGAGAAGGUAUUCCCUUGCUUUUAGUAGUUUUAUACAAACUUUGAACUUAGACAAAUUCCAAAUGUUCUUCUGUUAUUUGCUUAAUGAUUUCUGAUUUUUAAAGACAGACCAGCUUUUCUUAUGACAUAUUUUUAGACAGGUCCAAGUAAAAACAAAGAUAAAUAAACAAACACCCAGACCCCAAUCUUGUUCUCCCUGGAAUCCCGGGUACUAACAUUUAUUUUAAAGUGUGUCACAAUCUCAACUCCUUUAUCUCCUUUAUUAAUGAGGAUCGUUCCUUAGGCAGUCUGUCCAGGAGUGGGAAAUGCAAAUUACUGUUUUGGAAUUAAACUCAUUUCCUGCUCUUUGGUCAUAAUGAACGUAAUAUCUUUCCUUUAAUGUAUUCUGCUCCAUAGAUCAACUGUUACCUUGGUGUGUUCCAUAUGACUGCAGGCCCUUUUCCAUUAUCAGUUUUCUUUAGAGCACUGCAGAACUAUAAAUUAAAAUUGAUCGUGUAAUACAGAUAUCAGUGGGCUUUUGCAGCAUUCCUGACAUACACUUACCAUCAUCUUUUGAUAGUUACUGUGUAUGAAGGCUUAAAUAAGGAUACAGUUCUGCACUUAGCAGACCCUGUUUUAUUCCUAAGUUAGUAUUGCAGUCAUAUGUGGUAAACGAUGACUGACGGUGUUUCAUUAAAAUGAGGCAGCCACUCUUCAGCAUGCUGAAUAAGGUCUUUAAUGG